GCACCCCGCCCGCCCUCUAAAUCGGGCCCUCGGCAUGCCCUCCGAAGGCAGAGGCCACAGGUUCGAAUCCUGUCGGGUGCGCCA
This 84-nucleotide transfer RNA is filed under the name Sphingomonas kaistensis. RNAcentral's name for it is "tRNA-Arg". The record is from RNAcentral. Lineage: Bacteria; Pseudomonadati; Pseudomonadota; Alphaproteobacteria; Sphingomonadales; Sphingomonadaceae.